CCUACGGGAGGCAGCAGUGGGGAAUAUUGGGCAAUGGGCGCAAGCCUGACCCAGCAAUGCCGCGUGAAGGAAGAAGGCUUUCGGGUUGUAAACUUCUUGGACAGGGGAAGAGCAGAAGACGGUACCCUGAAAACAAGCCACGGCUAACUACGUGCCAGCAGCCGCGGUAAUACGUAGGUGGCAAGCGUUGUCCGGAUAUACUGGGUGGAAAGGGAGCGUAGCCGGGAGGGCAAGUCAGAUGUGAAAUCCGGGGGCUCAACCUGCGCAUUGCAUUUGAAACUGUUUUUUUUGAGUACUGGAGAGGCAGACGGAAUUCCUUGUGUAGCAGUGAAAUGCGUAGAUAUAAGGAGGAACAUCAGUGGCGAAGGCGGGCUGCUGGACAGCAACUGACGGUGAGGCGCGAAAGCGUGGGGAGCAAACAGGAUUAGAUACCCUAGUAGUC
This 442-nucleotide ribosomal RNA is filed under the name uncultured bacterium. Its description in RNAcentral is "partial 16S ribosomal RNA". It matches the Rfam family "Bacterial small subunit ribosomal RNA", at positions 338 to 795 of the family's 1533-position model. The record is from RNAcentral.